This 76-nucleotide non-coding RNA is filed under the name Microbulbifer rhizosphaerae. Lineage: Bacteria; Pseudomonadati; Pseudomonadota; Gammaproteobacteria; Cellvibrionales; Microbulbiferaceae. The record is from RNAcentral.
AGGAGCCGGAUGAGCGGAGACGUUCACGUCCGGUUCUGUGAGCGCCUCGGGGGGAGGGUCCCCGGGGCGACUCGAC